This 250-nucleotide unclassified non-coding RNA is filed under the name plant metagenome. RNAcentral describes it as "partial contains small subunit ribosomal RNA, internal transcribed spacer 1, and 5.8S ribosomal RNA". The record is from RNAcentral.
GUAGGUGAACCUGCAGAAGGAUCAUUAUCAACGUAUCCACGUUUAUAAACCAAUUUAGUGAACCGUCGCCACCUCUGGGCUAUGGCCGCUGUCUAUCGAUGCUAAGCUCAUUGUAUGAUUAUGGGCGUGUCGACUGACAAUUAAGGCUGUCUCUUCAGAGCGUAUUAAUCAUACGUUAUCUAUCUAUUAACCACUUGAACCAAUCAAUUUAUUUUAUCUUUGUUUGAACUGAUUUGUUUCUUACUCUGCG